RNAcentral lists this small RNA (64 nucleotides) under Oryza sativa Japonica Group (Japanese rice). RNAcentral describes it as "sRNA Os03g0100225". Lineage: Eukaryota; Viridiplantae; Streptophyta; Magnoliopsida; Poales; Poaceae. The record is from RNAcentral.
UUAAUGACAUGUUUCGAAACUUGCAUAAUUUUAAUGGCAUGGAUCUAAUUAACCAUAUUUUUUA